This is a long non-coding RNA of Girardinichthys multiradiatus, 326 nucleotides long. RefSeq lists it as uncharacterized. The record is from RefSeq and is a predicted model, not a curated record. The transcript has 2 exons. Lineage: Eukaryota; Metazoa; Chordata; Actinopteri; Cyprinodontiformes; Goodeidae.
CUAAAAUGUGCUGUUUUGCACAUGGCUGUGCGAAGUUGAUGGAUAAUGGCAGGAACUGGAACACGCUGUUGUAUACGCCGAUCCAGAGCAUCCCAAACAUGCUCAAUGGGUGACAUGUCCGGAGAAAUGCAAAGGAAAGAAAGCAGCACUUAUUGUUGAAGAAGACCUGGGCUUGGAUCUCUCUACAUGAUUCUGCCUCUCUAUUGCCAGCAUCUUGGAUCUCCUAAACAGAAAAACAUGAAACUUCUGAUUUUGCUUUUUAUCGCACUUAUGUUGCGAAAAUGGAAUUUCCAAACCUUAUUAAAUCAUGAAUUCACUGUGAUUAA